RNAcentral lists this ribosomal RNA (126 nucleotides) under Endozoicomonas montiporae. Lineage: Bacteria; Pseudomonadati; Pseudomonadota; Gammaproteobacteria; Oceanospirillales; Endozoicomonadaceae. The record is from RNAcentral.
UCUGGUGACCAUAGAGCGUUGGAACCACCCGAUCCCAUCCCGAACUCGGAAGUGAAACGAUGCAUCGCCGAUGGUAGUGUGGGGAUUCCCCAUGUGAGAGUANUGAAGACUACGACGUUGAUAGGC